AAAUCUUUAAAAUUUUAUUUUUAUUUAUUAAUUGACAUAAUAAGUAAUGAAUAAAAAUGUGUAAAAUUUAUAUUUUUUGAAUUGUACAAAUAAUAUUGCUCAAACUAAAUUCUAAGACAUUGAGAGCACGUUUGGUUUGCGCUAUCUUUUUAAGAUUCCUAAUAAUUCAAUAAAAAUAAAAAAAUAUGACGGUGUUUGGCUAAACAUACUAAGUAAUCUAAUUGGUAAUAUUAGAUUUUCUUGAGAAUGAGAUUCAUUCCAAAGUACUAAUCACAUUCUCUUGAGAGAGGGUGGGUAUCCUUAUAUUAAUGAAUUGGGAUAAUCAUAAUAUGCCUAAUCUUUUUUUUUCUCCCUACCUGCCGGCUAGUUGGUUUUAUUUUUUUUUACACUCUAACCUCAUAUCUCUCUUUAAACUUAUUUUUUUCUCUCUAAAUUUCAAUUUUUUUUCUCUCUCUAAACUGAGCUCUCUUCCCCCCUCUUUUUCUAAAAUCUCAACUCUCUCACUCUCUCUAAUCUCGAUUCUAUUUUUCUUUCUAUUUCUUUAAUUAUGCUCUCUCUUUCUAACCUAUGUUCUCUCUCCCCCUUUUUUCUAAAAAGAUGUUGAAAUUUUUGGUGGCAUUAUUUAAAAUUAAUUAAAGAAAAUAAAUAAAUAAAUUGUAUAUUUUUUGUAAACUUAAAUAACAUAACUAAAUAAUAUAACCGUGCGAACCAAACACAGGAAUGCAACAUUCUUAGUAAUAGGAUGAAUAAGAAUAAGAUUCUCUGACAUCUUUUUAUUGCUUGUAAUUUUUCAUAGUACGAACC
Molecule: long non-coding RNA, 804 nt
Filed under: Ananas comosus (pineapple)
Lineage: Eukaryota; Viridiplantae; Streptophyta; Magnoliopsida; Poales; Bromeliaceae
Description: long non-coding RNA (ACOM_LNC038222)
Source: RNAcentral